Etheostoma cragini (Arkansas darter) is the source of this 148-nucleotide long non-coding RNA. RefSeq lists it as uncharacterized. Lineage: Eukaryota; Metazoa; Chordata; Actinopteri; Perciformes; Percidae. The record is from RefSeq and is a predicted model, not a curated record. The transcript has 3 exons.
UUUUAUGUUUCAAUCAGGAUUUAAGGAGUCUGGUUUGGCUUUAAUUUGCUGUAGCUGAUAACAAGCGGGCGUUAAGUCACUCUACAACUAUACAGGAUUCACCUCAGAAAGGGCCGUGGCCACAUUUAUUUACAUAUUCAUUUCUGCU